UGUGCCAGAUCUCGGUCGACGCCUAACCGAGGAAUUCUCCUCCUCGGCCAAGUCUGCUGUGCCAUACCUCUCUUCACCGCCUGGAUCGGAGCCGCCAGCCACCACAUCGGGAUCGGAGACAGCGGCCGACCCCCUCCUCGCCGCGGGGUCGGACGCCACUCGUCAAAGUCAGUCAGUUGCUUGAAGAAAUGCGAGGCUGCCGGGUCUCGAUGGCUCAUGCCUUGUGCUGUGGACAUGGUGACAAACUGAGCACUGAGCACCAGGAUGUUUCUACUACUGCGGCUUGUCCUGUGCCAUCUAUCCGGCGUGUAAAACUAGUUUAUGCCAUGAGUCAUGUAUCAUCCGUCAGAGACAGGACAAGCUAUCCAAGCUCUAUGUGGAGGCCUGUCGUGCAGAGAAAGGUUCCUAAUUUCCGCCGUAGUGGUGAGCACGUGGUUGUUGCAGCGGCACACACACGUGUACUACCGAUAUGUUGGAUCGCUGACCACACCGCCGUGCAUCUGUCUGGGAGAACAAGAUGAACAAGGCCUGCUCGAUGUGCAUCGGUCCUUUGAAGAUGAUGGCACAAAAGUUAUUGCAGUUUCUUUUCUUUUUGGUUUCGUUUCACCAAAAGAUACUCUGUAGUUGUUAUUUCUGAAGUCGUGUUAGGUUCCUAGCAAGAUUUGCUCUGUCAGUUUGAUGUGAUAUAGAUCGAGGGAUUUGGAUCUGCAAGAAAUCUCACAUUUUCGUGAUGACCUGAUCAUGUGUGGUUAUGCUUCCUGGAAGUUUACAUUUUGAUGUAAUAUUGG
This is a long non-coding RNA of Lolium rigidum, 788 nucleotides long. RefSeq lists it as uncharacterized. Lineage: Eukaryota; Viridiplantae; Streptophyta; Magnoliopsida; Poales; Poaceae. The record is from RefSeq and is a predicted model, not a curated record. The transcript has 3 exons.